RNAcentral lists this ribosomal RNA (433 nucleotides) under uncultured bacterium. Its description in RNAcentral is "partial 16S ribosomal RNA". It matches the Rfam family "Bacterial small subunit ribosomal RNA", at positions 29 to 507 of the family's 1533-position model. The record is from RNAcentral.
AACGAACGCUGGCGGCAUGCCUAACACAUGCCAGUCGAACGAGACCUUCGGGUCUAGUGGCGCACGGGUGCGUAACGCGUGGGAACCUGCCCUUAGGUUCGGAAUAACUCCCCGAAAGGGGUGCUAAUACCGGAUAAUGUCUUCGGACCAAAGAUUUAUCGCCUUUGGAUGGGCCCGCGUUGGAUUAGCUAGUUGGUAGGGUAAAAGCCUACCAAGGCGACGAUCCAUAGCUGGUCUGAGAGGGUGAUCAGCCACACUGGGACUGAGACACGGCCCAGACUCCUACGGGAGGCAGCAGUGGGGAAUAUUGGACAAUGGGCGAAAGCCUGAUCCAGCAAUGCCGCGUGAGUGAUGAAGGCCUUAGGGUUGUAAAGCUCUUUUACCCGGGAUGAUAAUGACAGUACCGGGAGAAUAAGCUCCGGCUAACUCCGUG